UGCCAGCAGCCGCGGUAAUACGGAGGGUGCAAGCGUUAAUCGGAAUUACUGGGCGUAAAGCGCACGCAGGCGGUUUGUUAAGUCAGAUGUGAAAUCCCCGGGCUCAACCUGGGAACUGCAUUUGAAACUGCAUGGCUAGAGUAUCGAAGAGGGAAGUGGAAUUUCCGGUGUAGCGGUGAAAUGCGUAGAUAUCGGAAGGAACACCAGUGGCGAAAGCGACUUCCUGGUCGAAUACUGACGUUCAUGUGCGAAAGCGUGGGGAGCAAACAGGAUUAGAUA
This 279-nucleotide ribosomal RNA is filed under the name uncultured bacterium. RNAcentral describes it as "partial 16S ribosomal RNA". It matches the Rfam family "Bacterial small subunit ribosomal RNA", at positions 506 to 784 of the family's 1533-position model. The record is from RNAcentral.